GGAAAAAAAAAAAAAAAAAAAAAAAAGGGAGUGCCUUUUUUCUGGGUUGGAAGGGCGCGUGAGUGGGGUGUUUGGGUUGGGGGGUUCGUACAGUUGCAAAGUUCACACCCAUAGUCCCAUACCAUUCUCACUCACACACACACUGCUGUUCUCUCUCUCUCUCUCUCCCUCUCUCUCUUUAUACAUAUAUAUAUAUAUAUAGAUAUAUAUUUAUAUAUAUGUGCACACCAAAAUCAAACCGAAACUGAAACCCCGCACUUUGGAGCUAGCUCUCUCUCCGGCACACAAAACCCUAAAACGCAUAUGGUGAUUCUCAACCUGAAACGACGUCGGCCCGGCUUUUUCUUCUUAACCAACAGAGCAUUUUGAGACUUCAGAACCCGGGUUUCGAUCAGUGUAGGCUACAAUUAUUGCUUGAGCUCGUUUAACCAUGAGAAACCCUUUAAGGUAAACCCAAAAAAAAAAAAAACAAUAAUAAUAAAGUCAUACAAAGUUGAUCUAUCUGGAAUGGACAUUCAAGUGGUAGAUGGUGAAGGGGGAAACAGUGAACAUCGUGUGGAGGAAAGUAUCCUACUGGAUAAGAGUGAAAAACAAAAUGAAAGUUCAACAGGGAGAGAUGUAAUUAGUCAGGAUGAUGAUGGUGAUGCUACUCCUCAUGUGGGCAUGGAGUUUGAUACAGAAGAUGCUGCCAAGACUUUCUAUGAUGGAUAUGCCAGACGUGUUGGUUUUAGCACCCAUGUUGGUCAGUUUAGUCGUUCUAAGCCUGAUGGACCAAUUGUGGCAUGGGACUUUGCAUGUUCUAGAGAGGUAUUUAGACGGAAGAAUGUAGAAAGCUGCAAUGCUGUGCUAAGAAUAGAAAGAAAGGAUUCAAACAGUUGGGUUGUGACCAAGUUUGUUGAGGAACACAAUCAUUCUAUGGUGAGUCCUAGUAAGGUCCAUUACCUUCGACCCCGUAGACAUUUUGCUGGUGCUACAAAGAACGUGGCUGAUACGUUGGACGCAACAGGUGAAAUUUAUGUUUCCCUGGAUGGCAAUAAUGUUUCUUAUGAACCUAAUCAUGGAGUUAGGAGUGUCUCCCCUGCAGACACAAAUCGUCAAGCACGAAAUGUUGGGCUAGUGAACUACAUAAGGCCUUCUACUCGAAAGAGAACCCUCGGAAGAGAUGCUCAAAAUCUUCUAAACUAUUUCAAGAAGAUGCAGGCUGAAAACCCAGGCUUUUAUUAUGCAAUACAGCUUGAUGAUGAAAACCGCAUGACUAAUGUCUUUUGGGCUGAUGCACGAUCAAGGACAGCCUAUAACUACUUUGGUGAUGCUGUAAUAUUUGACACAAUGUACCGACCAAAUCAGUUCCAGGUCCCAUUCGCUCCUUUCACAGGAAUAAAUCAUCAUGGGCAGAUGGUAUUGUUUGGUUGUGCUUUACUUCUAGAUGAGUCUGAGUCUUCAUUUACUUGGCUGUUUAGGACUUGGCUUUCUGCAAUGAAUGACCGCCACCCUGUUUCAAUAACCACAGACCAAGAUAGAGCCAUACAAGCUGCGGUUGCUCAUGUAUUUCCUGAAACUCGUCAUUGUAUAUGCAAAUGGCACAUCUUGAGAGAAGGCCAAGAAAGAUUAGCUCAUAUUUAUCUUGCUCAUCCUUCCUUCUAUGGUGAGCUGUAUAGCUGCAUCAACUUUUCAGAAACUAUUGAGGAUUUUGAAUCAUCAUGGGCAUCUCUUCUUGAUAGAUAUGAUCUCCACAGAAAUGAAUGGCUACUGGCAGUGUAUAAUGCACGAAAGCAGUGGGCCCCAGUUUAUUUUCGUGGCACUUUCUUUGCUUCACUUUCCUCAAACCAAGGAAUUAGCUCCUUUUUUGAUGGCUAUGUGAAUCAACAGACAACAAUACCGCUAUUUUUCAAGCAGUAUGAGGUAGCUCUCGAACAUUCGUUGGAAAAAGAAAUAGAAGCAGAUUAUGAUACAAUCUGUACCACACCAGUACUUAAAACGCCUUCACCAAUGGAACAGCAGGCAGCAAACCUGUACACAAAAAAGGUCUUUUCUAAGUUUCAGGAUGAAUUGGUAGAAACUUUUGUGUAUACUGCAAAUAAGAUCGAGGGUGAUGGGGUAGUUAGUAAAUACCGGGUUGCAAAAUAUGAACAGGAUGACAAGGCUUACAUGGUCACGUUAAAUGUUUCAGAGAUGAAAGCAAAUUGCAGUUGUCAAAUGUUUGAAUAUUCUGGCAUUCUCUGUAGACAUAUAUUAACAGUCUUUACUGUAACAAAUGUUCUUACUCUUCCAUCCCAUUACAUAUUGAAGCGAUGGACAAGGAAUGCCAAAUAUGCGGUUGGACUGGAUGAACCAAACUCCGAUCCACAAGGUGUUGAAAACCUUACCAUGCGCUUCAACAAUUUAUGCCAGGAAGCCAUUAAAUAUGCUGAGGAAGGGGCAAUUGCUGUAGAAACUUAUAAUGCUGCAAUGAGUGCACUGCGAGAGAGUGGCAAAAAAAUUGCUGUUAUGAAGAAAAAUGUUGCUAAAGUCACUCCUCCUAACUCUCAAGGAAGUGGAAAUAGUCAGGAAGACAUUAACAAGAAAGCAUCUCUGCCACUUUCUGAAAUGGUUCCCUCAUUGUGGCCUUGGCAGGAUGCAAUGCCACAUCGUUUCAAUCUUAAUGAUGUUGGAGUUCCUGUUGCUGAUCUAAAUCAGCCCAUGAUGGCUCCCGUGUCUAUUCACCAUGACAGUGGCCCUUCUGAUAACACUGUUGUCCUUACUUGUUUUAAGUCCAUGACUUGGGUCAUAGAAAAUAAGAAUUCAAACCCGGCUGGAAAAGUAGCCGUAAUCAACUUGAAGCUGCAAGAUUAUGGAAAGAACCCUUCGGGAGAGACAGAAGUACAAUUUCGGCUAACGAGGAUCACACUGGAGCCUAUGUUGAGAUCCAUGGCCUAUAUUAGUCAGCAGCUCUCUGCACCAGCCAACAGAGUUGCUGUCAUCAAUCUGAAGCUCCAAGAUACAAAGACAACAACUGGAGAAACAGAGGUCAAAUUUCAAGUGUCUAGAGAUACACUAGGUUCCAUGUUGAGAUCAAUGGCUUAUAUCCGUGAGCAGCUAUGACAACCGUAAAAAUCCACGCAUUGUUUGAGGAUAAUCAUUUUGUAUAAACACAUACAGGAAGCAAAAAUGGGAAGAGAUUCAGAGCCUUCUAUUUUUUAUUUUUCGGCCACUCAGAUGACUAGCUGUGAGCCUGAGCCCAUCCCAACCUGCAAGGCAUGUCAGUUUCGUUAUAUUGUAUCAGUUAAUAGAGCUUCUUCCGGAUGGUGAAAUAUACAGAGUUGUGUUUUAAGCCCCCAGGCAAGCUGGGGAACACAGCAACUAAAUCAGGGCUGGCUGUCAUCAUCUAGUAAGACACAAAAAAUAAAGUACCGAAGGUGUGUCCUGGUUUAUAACCAUUUGUGUACAAUGUUAAUGUUUCAUUGACUGAAUGUGAUUUAGUUGCAGUUAAUUAGGUAUUGUUAAGCUACUCCUUGGAUUGCAUUUAGUUAGGUUUUGGCUUUCUAGGGUCUAGUAGUUUAUAUCGAUUUAACUUUCAAAUAUACAUCAUUUUCCUUGUAACCACGUCUUGGGAGCUUGUCUGUACAUGUAAGUUGUGAAUGAUCAAAUCAUUUCUAAACGAACUUUUUGUAAUUUGUAACUAAGCCUCAUAAAACAUCUAGUCUCUGAUUUCAAUUUGUUAUA
This is an RNA transcript of Ziziphus jujuba (common jujube), 3702 nucleotides long. It is a transcript of the gene named protein FAR1-RELATED SEQUENCE 3, with no coding region annotated. Lineage: Eukaryota; Viridiplantae; Streptophyta; Magnoliopsida; Rosales; Rhamnaceae. The record is from RefSeq and is a predicted model, not a curated record. The transcript is spliced from 7 exons.